This 795-nucleotide long non-coding RNA is filed under the name Carassius auratus (goldfish). RNAcentral's name for it is "lncRNA (ENSCARG00000016593.1)". The record is from RNAcentral. Lineage: Eukaryota; Metazoa; Chordata; Actinopteri; Cypriniformes; Cyprinidae.
AAUCAAAAUACCAGUCUACACUGCAGUAGCUCAGUGUUGCAAUGCUUGCAAUUGACAGUUUUAUUGAUUUUUAUAUUUUUUAUGAUAAUUAUGUGUAUGAUGAUGUGUUUGCACAAUGUCUGAACACCGUAUGAAACAUUAGUACGCUUUGUGAAAUAUAAAGAGAUUUCAUGGCAUUGUGUAUUAUAUUUCAGAGGUGCCAGCUUGUUCUACAUUUCUUCAAAUUGAGUUUUUGGCUGGAUUGGUCAGGUGGAAUGAAGCGACUGCCGUGGCCUCAGAGGGCCCGCAGACACCUCAGUCUUGCAUUGGGGUUCUCCAACAAGCUGUCAACCAGCUCGGAGAGGAAGUGCUUGGAAACAACAUUGUGUCUACUAUCAGUACAAGUAAAUACACUUGUGAACUGAUUGGGUUAGAGUACCUGUACCAUCAGACUGGCAAAGCAAUCCAGGACAGCAGAUUUAUCAUUAGACAGAUGGAAACCACUGACCUCCAAGUGGCUAAAAGUGAGGGAUGCUGCAAACUAGAGGACAUUGGGGAUUGGACAAUCACACAACAACCCAUCCCAUCUCUGUUAGAAGCUUCUCGAUCGAUGUAUGCAAGAUAUGCCUCAGGUUGGUAUUGCCAAGAGGCAUUUUUAAAAUAUUAAUGCAAGGCAUUCAAUCUUUUCCAGGACAAGCCGAGGUGCUCUGUUUCAGGAGGAAGAUCUCUUUCCUCCAAACACAUCCUCGCCUGCUCCAGAGAAGGUUCCUUUCAUAAAAGAAGAGGAUAAUUGCAACGACAAGCCUCUCAUUUCAA